Molecule: ribosomal RNA, 568 nt
Filed under: Trichoderma citrinoviride
Lineage: Eukaryota; Fungi; Ascomycota; Sordariomycetes; Hypocreales; Hypocreaceae
Description: eukaryotic LSU rRNA
Rfam family: 5.8S ribosomal RNA (bases 185-338)
Source: RNAcentral
CCAAUCUGUUGCCUCGGCGGGAUUCUCUGCCCCGGGCGCGUCGCAGCCCCGGAUCCCAUGGCGCCCGCCGGAGGACCAACUCAAACUCUUUUUUCUCUCCGUCGCGGCCUACGUCGCGGCUCUGUUUUAUUUUUGCUCUGAGCCUUUCUCGGCGACCCUAGCGGGCGUCUCGAAAAUGAAUCAAAACUUUCAACAACGGAUCUCUUGGUUCUGGCAUCGAUGAAGAACGCAGCGAAAUGCGAUAAGUAAUGUGAAUUGCAGAAUUCAGUGAAUCAUCGAAUCUUUGAACGCACAUUGCGCCCGCCAGUAUUCUGGCGGGCAUGCCUGUCCGAGCGUCAUUUCAACCCUCGAACCCCUCCGGGGGGUCGGCGUUGGGGAUCGGCCCCUCACCGGGCCGCCCCCGAAAUACAGUGGCGGUCUCGCCGCAGCCUCUCCUGCGCAGUAGUUUGCACACUCGCACCGGGAGCGCGGCGCGGCCACAGCCGUAAAACACCCCAAACUCUGAAAUGUUGACCUCGGAUCAGGUAGGAAUACCCGCUGAACUUAAGCAUAUCAAUAAGCGGAGGAA